UAGGCGGCAAUGAAGAUUAAAUUUUUUUGUCCUCUCUCUUAAUUACUCUCAAACCUCAAUACUCAGACCCUAAUUUCGUUGACCCCAUCGCUUCAAUCGCUAGGAGGGCUCAAUCUUGGUGAUCGAAAGGAAGACCGAAGACCUAAUAUCCUAAGACGGUGAGAAGGGCUACACGUUGUUCAAUCACAACUGCAACCCACCUUCAACCCUAGAGUUUUCGUGACGCGGCUGCAAUAUCAGGAAAGAAGGAAGGCCUCCCAAUAAGAAAGCAUGAAGUCAAUGAAGAAAACAUACUUAAGGGGCUGGUCUAGCUGCUUAAGGGUUACCUCUUCUCUAGAGCGUAAGGAACAAAUAGAGAGGCCUAGGAGAAACAAUGCAUUCAAAGAGAAAACGAGGAAAGGAAGAAAAAGGAAGCCAAAGAUGCAGAGUUAAAUGAAGAAAAAGUGAAUGUUGGGGAAUAAGUAGCCGUAGGAAGUAAAUCUGAUGAUGAAGCAGGGGCUCAUGAUCACUCACCUUCGGAUGAGGUUUUUGAAGAAGGAAACUGUUACUACAAUAAGACUAAAUUUAAUCAAUUUGAGCAAGCGACAACAAAUCUAGUUCAAAUGUAUUAUGAGUUUUAUAAUAGUUGCAGAGUUCUGAGAUGAGGUUCUACCAAGUCGGAGAUGAAGUUUUCCUCAAAAGCAUUAUAAACUCUACCGAGACUGUAACAAGAGGAAGGGUCCAGAGCUUGGACCCAAAUGAUCUAGUUGGUUGUACAGAGAUUGGACCAGAAUGGUGUGAGAUAAACGUUCAAGUACAAAUAAAAAAAAGAUGAAAACUUGGUAAGACCAUAUGGUUUAUUAACUUAUUUUCUACAACUCAAGAUUGUAUUGGUGCAUCCAUCGCAUGGCCCUAUUCAGUUAUCUCGGUAGUCCAUGAGGAUUGAGGACGCAUGAUGACUCAAGAUUUUAUGCUUCUUAUUUCUUUAAUUGCUUUUAAUUUAUUUGUUAAAUGUUAAGACUUUAUGUUAGAUAAUGUUAUAACUUACUGAUGGUUA
This is a long non-coding RNA of Helianthus annuus (common sunflower), 1036 nucleotides long. RefSeq lists it as uncharacterized. The record is from RefSeq and is a predicted model, not a curated record. NCBI's taxonomy places the organism in Eukaryota, Viridiplantae, Streptophyta, Magnoliopsida, Asterales, Asteraceae. The transcript has 8 exons.